This is a non-coding RNA of Misgurnus anguillicaudatus (oriental weatherfish), 7666 nucleotides long. The record is from RefSeq and is a predicted model, not a curated record. NCBI's taxonomy places the organism in Eukaryota, Metazoa, Chordata, Actinopteri, Cypriniformes, Cobitidae.
UUUAGCGUUCCUUAGGUGUUGACUGGAUGAAGCCAAAAUAAAGCCAGCCAAUGCCUAGCCAACAAAGUUUUGAUUGAUGGGGAUAGUAACCAAUCAUAAACGAUUACAAGGAUUCAGUUUGAUUGGUUUGUGUCGGUAAAAUGUGCGUCUGCGCAGAUCUGCGCAAACACACGUACGCUUGCGCAACCAAAUGCUGUUAUGCUAGCGGCUAUGGCUAGUUAUACAGAGCUUAAAGAAACGAUAAGGUUUAGAUAUAAAUAUCUCCGUUUUGGAUCGUCGAUUGCAGAUUACUUUUUUGUUUUGGAGAAGGUGAUGAGGAGCACGAGCGAGGUGCAAAAAGACCAGACUCUAUCAAAAUAAAGACGCGUCACCAGAGAUGCAUUGAGCAGUGGAGCUGCUGCUCAGAUACAUGAGACUGGUGUCUGAGGAUCCUGCCAUGGCUCAUGCGACCCAUGAAGAUGGAGUUGAUGGAGUUGAAGAAACUGGAUUUUCCAGCACAUACAGGACUGAUCAUUAGGUUUCGAGCUCGGUUCACAGAGGACACAAGGGGUUUAUGAUCUUUGAUACGCUUCAAGAGGUCUUGUUUUUGCCUAUGGAAGCAGUUAAAUCUUAUUAUUUACUGGCUUUUAAUAGUUGCAUAAAAUAAGCAACAUGUUAAAAACAACAUUUUGUAAAAACAUACCCAGGUAUCCACAGAAUAUUUCUCCAUGGCUUCUCUUUGACUGGACCUGCAGUGACCUGUGAGACAACUAGAAGACAAAUAUUGAUUGAUGAUUUAAAUGUGCUGUCAAAUAUAAUAAACAAUGUUAAUGAAGUCCCAAAUUUAUUGUUAAACCUAGUUAUAAAAACUUUAUUCUGACUUACUCUUCUUCACUUUGUACACAUCACAUUCUCGGAGCUGAGAGUCGCAUCCAUACAUGGUUAAGGGAUCAAAAUCUCCAUUUCCGGAUUUCCCUGCCUCACGUAUGUAAGAUCGUUUGUUUGGAGUCUCUGUUUGUUCCAGCCAUUGUGUUCCUUUUGCUCCUCCAGAGACUACUAUCCGGGUUGUCCAUGCCAGUGUUGCUCUUGCAUCUUUCACCGUGUGACGUUGUCCGGGGCCCGAGGAGUUCUUACAAACAGAUUGAUGGCAACAAUGAACAUGUAUGAUUCAGGGGUGAAGAAGGCCUUUGAAAACACGGCUAUGUCGUGUUAUAAUAGGUGCUGUACAGUGGUCCAAACCUUCAGGGUCAGAGGCUGAAAUAAAAAAAUACAUGGGGAGCUAUCUCCAGUCUGCUCGUGAUAGAUGUGGGGGUAUGGGACGACAAAAGGGGAAAUCUGCAAUUAAUCUCUUACGGUGGUCUUCAAUCUCACGGCAUUGUAAUGAAAGAACAUUGAAUAAAGCUUGAGGAUCAUCAGUUGAAGAAUCACUAUUUUAUUAAGCCAGGGAGCUACAACAUGAGGGUUUACAGUAAGCUUGAUUUCUAGUGGAUGAUGGAAAUGUUGGUAAAACCUGAUUACAUUUACAUUACAUUUAAGUUUUUCACAAUAAAUGAACAUAAUGAAUGUGUAACAAAUAAUCUUUGUUUUCUGCACUAUUCUACGUUUCAUAAAAAAUAUUUUUAUUUCUUUUCUCCACAUUGCGGUGGGGUUUGAGGAGGUGAGGUUGAUGCUCCUCUUCUUGAUAUUGUAAAUCAAUCCGUUAAGUUUUUUGAUCGGGGAGACCAUACCCUCAGAUGCUUCCUGCAAAUAAAGCAAACAGAGAUUUAAGAUAUUAAAUAACUUUUUUUUAUCGAAUUUGUUUUGCUCAGAGCUCUGGUAUAAAUCUACCUGUGCAGUACAUGGAGCCGGACGCUUAAGACAGGGACGCUGAGGAGGAGAGACGGGAGGAGGCACUUGCCGGAUUGGCUGAUUUUUGGCAUUGGCUCCACCUCAUCCUGAGCUCCAUUAUUUUGCUAAGAUGGAGCCCGACGCUUCAUUAACGGAGGCAGGAAAGGAGACGCAAGAGGAGGCGUUUGAUUCUGAGGAGGUGAAAGUCUACACAUACAAAUAAAGAUACUAUGAAUUUGGAAAGACUUUGAUAAACUUACUGAGAUAAGGAACCGUCGUCCUCAAUCUCCAUGUCCUCAACAGCAUCUGUGUUGAUUUGCUGUAAGUCAAAACAAUCAGAGAUUUAAAACAUUUACAUGAAACUACUUUUUUAUUAAUAUUGGCACAAAUAAUGUUCACAAUCUACUUGAGAGGACGGAGGUGUCUGGGGCUAUGGAGGCGCAACUGCGGCUUGAGGCUGUGGAGCAGGAGCAGGAAAGAAGAGAAGCCCUGGUGGUGGCUCUGGAGCAGGUACGAGGGGGCCCUCAGUUGGAGGGUCAGCAGGAGGAGGGAUGGUCUCAACUGGUUCAUCCUCUUCAUUUGAAGAGAGAUCUGAAUCUUCCAGAUCCUCGAGGACCCAUGAUGGAAGUUGGCAUUUCAUGUCAACAAAUAUCAUGGGAAACCUCGGAACACAUAUGAAAAGCUAUAUGUCAGAAGAAGGAUCUUCAUACCUCUCGAUGAACCGGUUGAGCUCGAUCAAUUUUUGGGCCCACCGCUCUUCUUUCCGGAGUCGAAGCAUCUCCCUGUCUAGUGUGUCCCUCACCAGACUACACGCCUCCUCCGAGGUCAGGGCGAAGCUGACCAAACUUUGCCCUACCUUGAAUCUGCAUGGGAGAAAAAUUAUCUUUGUAAACUAUCUCGGCUCCAUAACAAUAAGUUUAGCGUCUGAUCAGCGUUACUGAAUCCCUGGAAGUCAAAACACAAAAACUGUUACUGCAACGAAACAACUAAAGAUCUGUGAGUCCUUACCGGAAUUCUGCAGACACGUAUCCCCAUCCGGAGAAACGGACCAGAUCGAAGACUAAAGUCUCUGCCCUCACCUUGAGAUCUUUAGUCUCCGUGUCCUUGAUAUUCUUCUAGAAAUCACAUCAUCAUCAGUUAGGUUAUGUGCAAGUUUCUGUUAAACACUCUGGUUGGUAUUGAAAUGUGAUGUUUUACUUGUGCGAUUACAUAAUUCCUCACUAUAAAAACUCUCUGAAGAUGACACAAGCAGACAGAAUCUCACCUGAUGUGUGCCAGCUGCCUUGGCGGAUGGAGGUGUGGACUCCUCAAAAGAAGCGUUGUGGUCCACCGUGUCAGAAAGGUCACUCCACUGCGAAGAACCUUCUGAGAACAAAACAAAGAGGUUAAAUGAAACAACUUGAUGACAACAGAAUGAUUUUCACAAAUAUACUAAAUCAAGUCCAUCCACACCUUUCACGGGAGCUGGUAGCUUCAUCUGAGCUCUGCGGACCCGACCGAUCCAAGGCCCAAAUGGUGCUGGUUGGAUGCUGAGUGGCUCAACCUCACUACAGUCCACUCUUCUUUCCGGAGGCGAAGCAUCUCCCUGUCUAGUGUGUCCCUCACCAGACUUCCUCCGAGGUCAGGGCGAAGCUGACCAAACUUUGCCCUACCUUGAACCUGCAUGAAAGAAAAAUUAUCAUUGUAAACUAUCUCGGCUCCCUAACAAUUAGUUUAGCGUCUGAUCAGCGUUACUUAAUCGCUGGAAGUCAAAACACAAAAAAUGUUACUGCAACGACACAACUAAAGAUCUGUGAGUCCUUACCGGAAUUCUGCAGACACGUAUCCGCAUCCGGAGAAACGGACAAGAUCGAAGACUAAAGUCUCUGCCCUCACCUUGAGAUCUUUAGUCUCCGUGUCCUUGAUAUUCUCCUAGAAAUCACAUCAUCAUCAGUUGAUGAUCGUCCACACCUUUCACGGGAGCUGGUGGCUUCAAUUCAGCCCUGGGGACCACCCGGCCGAUCCAGGGCAGAGAGAGAGGUGCUGGUUGGAUGCUGAACGGCUCGACCCCACAACAGAGGAACUCCUGAUCCGACAAAUAAAUAAAAAAAUCAGUCAGUAAAUCUUCAAAUCUUGCAAAUGGACAGCUCUUAUUUAAGACACAUGAGUACAGACAUUCAUUACAAAGAGUUUUAAUGUUGUCUAAGUCUUAUGUUACCCUUUGGUGAGAGAGCUGGUGUCAUAGCCUGUACCAGACUCAGAAGAUAGCUCAUGGUGGGAUGAAGACUCUGACCCCCCCUCCUCAAAGUCUUCAUCCUCGACCACGGCUUUCUCCUCUGGAGAAAGAUCCCCAGCGUCAUCCUUUAACCCAGCAUAUCGUCUAGGAUGUUCAUUCUGAGAUUCAGUGUAAGUGUGGUAAAGGAAAGCAAAACACUUCAAAGCUUCAAAUAAUUGUUAUUUUCAGAAAAUUUUCAUUAACUGCCAAAAAUAAUGAUCAGGUUACACAUGGGAAUAGUAUUAAUAUGAAAUUCAUCAAAAAGUCCUUUGGCUAACAGUGUCUCUAUCUCUCACACAUUUCACAUUAGUGUUUUUUCAUACUCUGUAAACCACUGAACAUCAGUCACAGAUAUUGUUAGACAGAUUACAGGUGACAACGUAUUAAUUUAGAGGCUUCCUCUGCUCUUGGCACCACAGGAGUUGGAGGGGUGGCGGCUCCGUCAGCCGGAGUCAGUUCGGACCUCACCGAACUGUAUGCAUCCUCCUACAAAUCUCUCUCAAAUUUGUUUUGUUCAGGGCUCUGGUAUAAAUCUACCUGUGAAGAGCAUGGAGCCGGACGCUUGAGCGAGCGACGCCGAGUAGGUGAGGCGGGAGGAGACACUAGCCGGAUUGGCCGACUGUUAUUAGUUGAAUGUCUAUAAACACAUAUAAAAGUAUUGUGAGAAUUGCGUCAGCAAACAUUACAGCGCUAAAACAUCUAAAAUAAAAAACUAAAUGUAAUAUUACAAAGGUUAAGGCUGAAAUGAAGACUUGCUGAGAAACAGAAGAGCAGUCGGCCACGGCACUGUCUGCUUUAUUUUGCUGUAAAUAAAACAAUUAAAGAUUUAAUAAAUGAAAUGAAAUUGUCAAUUAAAUUGUCACUAAUAACGUUUAGGGCAGAGGUCUCCAAACUUUCUGUGAGCAAGGGCGACCACAAUGGAUAAAACAAUCUGGAGGGCUACUUUUUGAUAUAGUCUACUUUAACACGUUGGAGUCCUCUGGAUUAAGGCUUUGGUUAAAUCUACCUGAGAGGAGGAUGGCGUCUCGACUGGAGGAGGCGUGACUUCAUUCGACAUCCUCUGUAGUUUGGCUCUCUUUGCGGCCGGCUCCAUCUCAUCCUGAAGAUUAAAUACACGUAUAUUAAAACAAAAUGAAAAAAACAUUGAGUUCUGCUAAAGGCUUCGGUUUAAAUCUACCUGUGAAGAAGGAGCCGGCCGUUUGAGAGCGCGACGCUGAGGACGAGAGGCGGGAGGAGGCACUUUACUGUGUCGAGGUGAAAGUCUACAUAAAUUCUGAAAGUCUGAGGAGGCGCAGCCGGAGUGGUCGAGCCAUUUGGAGGUGAAGGCCUAAAAACACAUUUAAAAAUAUUGUUAAGAACUGUUUCUGCAAACAUUUACCAACAGCUAUUUGUAAUAUUACAACAGUUACAGAUAAAAAUUGACACAAUUUGUUUAACUUACUGAGACACAAGAGUACAUAUCUCCGCAGAGGUCAGGGCAAAGCAGACCAAAAUUUGCCCUACCUUAAAUCUGCAAGGGAGAAAAAUAAUCAUUGUAAACUAUCACGGCUCCCUAACAAUUAAUUAGGCAUCUGAUCAGCAUGACUUAAUCGCUGAAUGUCAAAACUCAAAUAUGUUACUGCAACAAAACAACUGAAAAUCUGUGAGUCCUUACCGGAAUUCUGCAGACACGUAUCCGCAUCCGGAGUAAUAGGCCGAAAUCAAAGACUGAAGUCCAUGCCCUCGCCAUGAGAUCUUUAGCCUUGAUAUCCUCCUAGAAAUCACAUCAUCAUCAGUUAGGUUAUGUAUGAGACAAGCAGACAGAAUCUUACCUGAUGUGUGCAGGCUGCCUUCGUGGAUGGUGGUGUGGUCCCCUUAUGAGAGACAUGGAGGUCCACCGUGUCCCAAAGGUCUUUCCACAAUGGAAAACCUUCUCAGAACAAAGCAAAGAUGUUAAAUGAAACAACUUGAUGACAACAAAAUGAAUUUCACAAAUAUACUAAAUCAAGUGUGUCCACACCUUUCACUGGAGCUUGUGGCUUCAUGUUAGCUCUGGGGACCAACCGACCGAUCCAAGGCAGAGAUGGAGCUUGAUGGAUGCAGAGCGGCUCAACCCCACUGCAGUCGUCCACAACAGAGGAACUCCGGAUCCGACAAAUAUAUCAAAACAAUAAGUCAGUUAAUUAGAGAGAGCUGGUGUCCAAGCCUGUACCAGACUCCGAAGAAAGCUCAUGAUCGGAGGAAGACACUGACGCCUCCUCCUCAAAGUCUUCAUCCUCUACAAUGGCCUUCUCCUCUGGACCUGUAAGUGAAAAGAAGAGAUAAGAAUUAAGGAUCCCAGAAUCAUCCUUUAAUCCAGCAUAUCGUCCAGGAUUGUCAAUCUGAGAUUGAGUGUCAUAUGGCUUCCUCUGCUGUCGACAAUGCAGGAGUCGGCGGAGCGGCGGCUCCAUCAGCUGGAGUCAGUUCGGACCUCACUGAGCUGCGAGGUUCCUCCUAGAAAUCACAUCAUCAUCAGUUAGGUUAUGUAUGAUGCAAGCAGACAGAAUCUCACCUGAUGUGUGCAGGCUGCCUUUGUGGAUGGUGGUGUGGACUCCUCAUGAGAGACAUCAAGGUCCACCGUGUCCCAUAGGCCAUUCCACACUGGAAAACCUUCUCAGAACAAAGCAAAUAUGUUAAAUGAAAUAACUUGAUGACAACAAAAAGAUUUUCACAAAUAUACUAAAUCAAGUGCGUCCACACCUUUCACAGGAGCUGGUGGCUUCAUGUCAGCUCUGGGGACCAACCGACCGAUCCAAGGCAAAGAUGGUGCUUGAUGGAUGCUGAGAGGCUCAACCCCACUGCAGUCGUCCACAACAGAGUAACUCCUGAUCCGACAAAUAUAUCAAAACAAUAAGUCAGUUAAUUAGAGUAAGAGAGCUGGUGUCAAAGGUGUACCAGACUCUGAAGAAAGCUUAUGAUCGGAUGAAGACUCUGACGCCUCCUCCUCAAAGUCUUCUUCCUCGACCAUGGCCUUCUCCUCUGGACCUGUAAGUGAAAAGAACAGAUAAGAAUUAAGGAUCCCAGGAUCAUCUUUUAAUCCAGUGUAAGAAUUGCUGUAAUAUCCUGACCAAAAGGCACCACCCCCUGGGAGACACAGCGGGACCACAGGUGCUUGCGACAACAAGGACAUUCAAAGAGAUAUCUUUACAUCACUACCGGUUUCCUCCCGAACUCACAGCAAGGGAGCCGAGAUCCCGCAACACCUCCCUCGAGAAUCAGAACUCAGUGGACUCCCCAUUUGGUUUUCAAACAACACAUCCUGAGGCAAAUUGUGACUCUGCGGCCAAAAGGUCUAACCCCCUCUGCCUCUCCUUUCUCUCCUUGCACUCUUGACACAGGACAUUCUAAGGUUUCAUUGAAUAAUUAUGUGAAAAGACAUAUAUAUCCCAUGCAAAUAACAAUUUAAAGUGUUCAUGUUUCCUAUCUUUGCAAAGGUUCUGUUAAGUUGGUUUUGAAUUAUUUCAUAUUUCUCAUGAUUGAUUUAUAUGUCAUGUUGAUUGAAUUGACUUUUGAAUAUUGAUUGAAUUGAUUUUGAAUCAUUGUGCCGUUUACCUUGUAAAUAAAUUGUUACAUUUGUAUUCAUUCUAA